This 2243-nucleotide unclassified non-coding RNA is filed under the name Penaeus japonicus. RNAcentral describes it as "probable ATP-dependent RNA helicase DDX17, transcript variant X6". The record is from RNAcentral. Lineage: Eukaryota; Metazoa; Arthropoda; Malacostraca; Decapoda; Penaeidae.
GGACUACGACGGGUCGGGUGCGCUCACCAUUAGACGGCCUUCUGCGCGGGUCUAAGACGGGCGACACUUACAUCGCGGCGCCUGUUAUCAACCUUACGACCUAAAACCCGCAGCUGGAGCAAAUAACAUCUGCUCCUAUUUAGAGUAACUGUUUUUAGUAAAGUAAACCAAGAAAUACCACCAAACAUGUCCUACAGAAGCAGCCGCAGGUCUCGCUCCCGUUCUCGUUCUCGCUCUCGCGACCGUGGUCGACGCGAUAGGGAUGACUGGGGCCGAGGUGGAGGGUAUGGUGGCAGCGGUGGAGGUGGGAGGCCGUCGCUGAAGGGGAGGCAGCCGGGAGAACGUCUGCGAAAGCCAAAGUGGGACCUGUCCAGACUUGCCCCCUUCGAGAAGAACUUUUACCAGCCCACACCUGUUGUUGUCAACCGACAGCCCUAUGAAGUGGAACAGUACAGAAAUGAAAAGGAAAUCACACUUAGAGGAAAGAACAUUCCCAAUCCCAUUCAGUACUUCACGGACUACAAUUUCCCAGACUAUGUAAUGGCCGAAAUCCGUCGACAGGGCUAUGAAGCACCUACACCUAUUCAGGCACAAGGCUGGCCUAUUUCAUUACAAGGAAGGGACUUUGUUGGUAUUGCACAGACUGGCUCAGGAAAGACCUUGGGUUACAUUUUACCAGCCAUUGUUCACAUCAACCACCAACCAUAUUUGGAACGGGGAGAUGGCCCAAUUGCGCUUAUCUUGGCUCCCACAAGAGAACUCGCCCAGCAAAUCCUAACAGUUGCACAAGACUUUGGUUCAUCUUCAAAGAUCCGCUCCACAUGUGUGUUUGGUGGUGCACCCAAAGGGCCACAGAUUCGUGACUUGGAACGAGGGGUUGAGAUUUGCAUUGCCACACCAGGACGUCUCAUUGAUUUCUUAGAAGCAGGGAAAACCAAUCUUCGCCGUUGUACAUAUUUAGUACUUGAUGAAGCUGACCGCAUGUUGGACAUGGGUUUUGAACCACAAAUCAGAAAAAUUGUAGAACAGAUUCGGCCUGACCGACAAACUCUUAUGUGGUCUGCAACUUGGCCCAAAGAGGUGAGGAAUCUUGCCGAGGACUUCUUAAAAGAAUACAUUCAACUUAAUGUAGGCUCCCUAUCCCUCGCAGCCAACCACAACAUCCUCCAGAUUGUAGAUGUUUGCCAAGAGAUGGAAAAGGAUACAAAACUCCGGCAGCUACUUGAAGAGAUCAUGGCAGAAAAGGAAAGCAAGAUCAUCGUGUUUGCAGAAACAAAAAGAAAAGUGGACGAUUUGACCAGGCGAAUGAGACGCGAAGGGCUGCGCCAGUUGCUCAAUGAGAUGGCGCAAGAGAGGGCUUACAAGACAAUAAUCUUUAUCGAAACGAAGCGGAAGGUGGAGGAUGUUACUCGUGGGUUGAGGAGUACUGGGUGGCCAGCUAUGUGUAUCCAUGGAGACAAAUCUCAACAAGAGAGAGAUUGGGUUUUAAGUGAAUUCCGUUCAGGGAGGGCACCAAUCUUGGUAGCCACAGACGUUGCCGCUCGUGGGUUAGAGGCACUCAAAGCGAGAUAAUGCACGGAGGAUGUUUCGUUGCAUUAGGCUCCGGUGCCUCUGAGACUCGUCGUGCAUCACGAGCACGAAUACGCAUUGGCGACAAGUGUCCACUGGUGCCGGAAAGGUGGUCACGUUGCCCUGGCCAUCAGUUGUGGCAGAGGUCAACGAUGACCAGCGAUAGCGGCCGCCUGCAGCCUGUGUCGGUCCAGAACGACCCACUCUGGUGUGCAGCAGUCCGCGCUGGUCUUGCCUAGCCUGCCCACCCUGGACCUGCCAAUUGAUUCGCUACCGUAGCAUCGUGGCAAGCCGCAAGCCCCAGACCUGUGGUUAACUGGGCCUUGCGUGGCCCAGCCCCCUAACACAGGGCCCUCAGCCCUGGGACUGAAACGUACUUUAGGGUCCACCCCGGCCCCCACUUGCCGCUGCCUCUCCCGCACUGCCACAUGUGGAACAUGUGGAUGAUGUGAAGUUCGUGAUCAACUACGACUACCCAUCUUGCUCUGAGGAUUACGUUCACCGAAUUGGGCGAACUGGGCGCUCGGACAAGACAGGAACUGCCUACACAUUCUUCACAGCGGACAACUGUAAGCAGGCAAAGGAUCUGAUCGAAGUGCUGAAGGAGGCCAAUCAAGUUGUUAAUCCCCGGUUAUAUGAAAUCAUGGAAAUGGGACGCGGUGGUGGAGGUAAAG